ACGCUAGCGAUAGGCUUAACACAUGCAAGUCGAGGGGCAGCAUGGUCUUAGCUUGCUAAGACUGAUGGCGACCGGCGCACGGGUGCGUAACGCGUAUGCAACUUGCCUCACAGAGGGGGAUAACCCGUCGAAAGACGGACUAAUACCGCGUACACUCCACUUUGGGCAUCCAAAGUAGAGGAAAUGAAAUUCGCUGUGAGAUAGGCAUGCGUCCCAUUAGCUAGUUGGUGAGGUAACGGCUCACCAAGGCGACGAUGGGUAGGGGAACUGAGAGGUUGAACCCCCACACUGGUACUGAGACACGGACCAGACUCCUACGGGAGGCAGCAGUGAGGAAUAUUGGUCAAUGGGCGAGAGCCUGAACCAGCCAAGUCGCGUGAAGGAUGACUGUCUUAUGGAUUGUAAACUUCUUUUAUACGGGAAUAACAAGAGUCACGUGUGACUCCCUGCAUGUACCGUAUGAAUAAGCAUCGGCUAACUCCGUGCCAGCAGCCGCGGUAAUACGGAGGAUGCGAGCGUUAUCCGGAUUUAUUGGGUUUAAAGGGUGCGUAGGCGGCCUGUUAAGUCAGCGGUGAAAUCUAGGAGCUUAACUCCUAAAUUGCCAUUGAUACUGGCGGGCUUGAGUGUAGAUGAGGUAGGCGGAAUGCGUGGUGUAGCGGUGGAAUGCAUAGAUAUCACGCAGAACUCCGAUUGCGAAGGCAGCUUACUAAGGUACAACUGACGCUGAAGCACGAAAGCGUGGGUAUCAAACAGGAUUAGAUACCCUGGUAGUCCACGCAGUAAACGAUGAUAACUGGGCGUAUGCGAUAUACAGUAUGCUCCUAAGCGAAAGCGUUAAGUUAUCCACCUGGGGAGUACGCCGGCAACGGUGAAACUCAAAGGAAUUGACGGGGGCCCGCACAAGCGGA
RNAcentral lists this ribosomal RNA (908 nucleotides) under uncultured bacterium. Its description in RNAcentral is "bacterial SSU rRNA". It matches the Rfam family "Bacterial small subunit ribosomal RNA", at positions 33 to 933 of the family's 1533-position model. The record is from RNAcentral.